This 15014-nucleotide long non-coding RNA is filed under the name Cicer arietinum (chickpea). RNAcentral describes it as "long non-coding RNA (CARI_LNC003636)". Lineage: Eukaryota; Viridiplantae; Streptophyta; Magnoliopsida; Fabales; Fabaceae. The record is from RNAcentral.
AAACCCCCCCAACAACCUUCCCCAAAACCCCCCCAACAACCUUCCCCAAAAUCCCCCCAACCACCUUCCCCAAAAUCCCCAACUUGUCCUAUAGACACACUUAAGUUUGGUGUGUGUGCUGAUUUAUUGGGUGUGGUUCAUAUUAUAAUUGGUAAGUCACAAUGUUGUUCACUCAUCGAUGGUCUUGCUAAUCUUGAUGCUGCUGUGUGCCUUUGCACUGCCCUUAAAGCUAAUGUGUUGGGAAUCAACCUUAAUAUUCCUAUUAACUUGAGCUUGAUACUUAACAAUUGUGGAAAGGGUGUUCCAAAGGGCUUCGUAUGCGCUUAAUUACUAAUUAGAGACACCACUACUUUAUAUGGUUGUGUCACAAUUUUCUUAAUUAUAUUCUUCAUUAUAUAGUGUGUGGAUUUUGUACUCUUUUGGUACUUAAUUGUCAUUUUCUUAUGAAUAAUACUUUGUAAUGGUUUGAAAUUGCCAUGAAUAAUAUUGUUGUGAUGGUUUUAAAUUGAAGCAUUAAUUUGUCUUCCUUUUCAAUAUCAAUACAAAUGGUGGUUUGUAUAGUAUUUCGUCUACGUAAAAUUUCUAGUAUCAAUAAGUAUUCUACGUUUAUGCAAAGAUUUGUCAUUCAUUCUGUUAUUUUAUUUUUGGACCUUUCCCAAUUAGUUUUCAUUUAUGCAAUGAAGCAGUUCUUGAUAUUAAUGUGUUUUUUUUUUUUUUUUUACAGAAAAAUAAGUAUAAUUCGAAUGUUAAAUAAAAAUAGUAAAAUUAAAUUGAUUAUAAAUUAAAUAUUUUCCAUCCAUAUUUAAUGUUAAGAUUAAAUUUAAUGAGCUAAAAAGAUAAAAAUAUAACAAUUAUACACAUAAGUAUUUUAAAAGCAGACAAGCAGACGAGUAGUAAUCAAAUUAAAACUUUAAUUUUAAUUACCAAAUUUAUUUAUCUACCUAUAACCAAUUUUCAAAAAUAACAUAAGAUUACAGUAUGUAAUAUCAUACAUAUUUGUCUGUACCGUAUAGAAUAAAAAAAAAUUGUGUAGAAUUUUUUAUUUAUAUAUUACAAUUUUAAUUUUAUAAUUAGGAAUAUAUAAAAAAUUGCGAAAGAUAAAUAAACCAUUUCAAUUUGAUUUUCUGUUUUGAAAAUUUUGGGAUUUUUUCUUUAAUAUCCUUUUGUUUCAAUUUUUUUAUUUAAAUUCACUACUUCAAAAAGAAAAUACUAAUAUGUCGUGCUUUUUGGAUUUUAUAUAAAUGAUUAAAAAUAAAACAAAUAAACAAUUAAUAAUAAUAAUAUAAAAAUAAUUAAAAUUAGUAAAAAACAAUACAAAAUUUUAUAGAGGUUGAGUAGAGUUAUUCGUAAUAUAGAAUAAUAAUUUGAAUUUUGAUCGGAUAACCAAUCUAAUUUAAAUUGUGGAUCUUAUAUCACUUUUACGAAAAUGCAUAUAAGAAUCUUUCAUUUGGUUAUUUUUCGGUAUUCAUUUUAAAACAUUGCAAUAAGAAUUAUUAAUUUAAUUGUAAUAAAAAUAUGUUUACUUUUUAAGGUAGAAAAAUAUUAUUAUUAUUAUUAAUAUAAAUAGGGAUAAAUAUAUUUUUAAUUCUUAAUUUUUUUUAUAUUUCAAUUUUACUUGCUAUAAAAUAAAAAUAUAAUUUUAAUCCUUACAAAGUUGUCGAUCCGGUAAGUAGUUCUAAUCUCUGUUUAAACAAAAUAUACUUAAUUGUUUUUCAACUUUAAAAAUUUUAGAAUGACUUUUCACACGUAUGUUUAUAAUAUUAUAAAAAGCUAAGUUCAUCCGCAUAAAUUUUGAAUUUUUUUUAUCUUGGUAUAAUUAAAUAUAAAAUUUUUAAAUAUAAAAAAUCAAGAUAAAAUGAACAAAAAUAUAGAUUUAAAAAUCUAAUUUUGAGCUCAUAUUUUGUGGUACAAUAUUUUUUAUAUUGUUGUAAAUAUAAUCGCAAAAAUUCAUUUAAAAAUAUAUGUUGACUUAACAACCUAAACUAAAACUACGUGUUGAUGUAGCUAAAUAUCACUAGAAUGAGGGUUGAAUAGGGAUUUUGCUGUUUAAAAUAAUUUCCAAGUGUUUUAAAAACUAUCCUCUUGCAGAGGAUGGCAAUCCCGAGGAUGGGUUUUUCAAAACCUUCAGAUUUGAACUGAGCUAAAGAGUGAAAGAGAAAUAUAAGAUUGACACACACUGUUUUUAUACUGGUUCACCCAAAGAUGGCUACUUCCAGUCCUCACACCCUUGUGAGAUUUCACUAAUGUUCAAACAGAUCAACCUCUGACCGAGGAUGAUUACAACUUGUGUAUUCUCAAGCUUCACCAAGCUUACAAUCAGAUUUCAAAUGUUUCCAAGUGUAUCUCACGUGGAAAUUACAGUGUGAUAAGAGAGUGAUUGAUUCUAAAUACUUUCUCAAAAGAUUAACAAAGAUCUAAUGUAGGAUUUGUAGAAAGUAUGAAGAUAUAAUGGAUGUUGCUUCUUGAAAGCUUUAAGAUCUUUGAUCUUUUUUAAUGCAAAGUGUUGUGUGUUGAUGAAGAUCAGCUUGCUGCAAUUUAUAGAGGUCUUGUAAUGUUCAUUUCAUGUGUCAAGCCUUUUAUGACCGUUGGAAAAUCCAUUUGAGAAAUGCCAAAGUUUUUCUUCAUAUUUACGAAAAUACCAUUCAACUCAUUAGAUAUAUGCAUUCCAUGUUCAAGUACGAAGUAGCUGUUUUCUUGGCACUUGGGGACACGUGAUGUCCUUUUCUCUUUCAUUUCUUUAAUGUUUGAAUAUUGUGUGGAGUCAUUUUCAUUCUCCUUUCUUCAAUGCCUUGAAAAAGCUUCACAUGUGAGCUUUUUCUCUUUCCUCCAUUUAAUGCAUUGUAAGAAUAUGUGAUGUCCUUUUCAUUCCUUUCUUCAAGACUUUGUGAAGGCUUCACGUAAAGGCUUUUUCUUCUUUCCUUACCUUAAGACAUAAUCAAUUUAUUUAAGACUUGUUUGUUGUUGCCUUUUUUGAAGAUUGACUUUAUAAUCCUUUUAAAUCACAUAAUAGUACAUGUAGCCUUUUGCCUAUGACAUGAUGAGUUGCUUUCAUAAAGUGUUGGGAAGCUUUUCAAGAUGUUGACUAUAGGCACAUGCUAAUAUCAUCAUUACUCGUACCUUUCUUUUGCAUUCUUGUUACUUUUCUUCAAAGACCUUUCUUUAAUCAUUUUUUAAUAGUAUUUUGCCUUUAUUGAAUGAAUCAAACAAUUCAUUCUUUAAUACUAUUCUGCCUUUGUUGAACGAAUUCAAAUAAUUCAUUCUUUUAAUACUAUUAUGCCUUUGUUUAAUGAAUUCAAAUCAGCGAGGAUGCAGAACUGCAGUUUCACCAGAUCGUGAGGCCAUCCUCGGCAUUUUCCAUACUUAGCAUUUAACUCAGAAUUUUCUUCUUUUUCCUUAAUGAAUGAUAACCUGUUUUCUUAUAUAAAUACACUCAAAAGCACAGAUUAGUCAUUAAACUCAAUCAUAAUCUUUUAAUUAAUUUUGUUAUCAUUAAAACCAAUUGAGAGAGAUUUUGUCUCAACAAUCUCCCCCUUUUUGAUGAUGACAAAAUUCUUUAGAUUAUGAUUUUUGUUUUAUGUAAGAAUGAAAUAAUUAAACUCCCCCUCAAUCAUACAAGUGAUAUUUUUGAAAUUAUGCAAUAUUGAGGUAAAUAGAACAUUCAUAAACACCUAAAAUAAAUUCCAGCAACUUAAGCAAAAUACCAUAGGUUCAUGAAUUCAGCCAUAACAUCCAGCAAACAUAAUUUGAGUUUAAACAACCAUAACAUCAGUCAGCAAAACAUAAUAUGAGUUUAAACAUGCUAUCAACAUAAGACAAAAUAUAAUACAUAAUCUGACUCCCCCUGAAUUAAGUCAACAUAAAAAAGUAUCUAAAAAAUUUAAAACAGAGUCAUUCAGCGGAAGAUGAAUCUUCAGAUGAUGAUGUAGAGUCGGGGUCAAAAGAGAACUGGGCCGGUAGCACAAGAGGUUGAUCAUUGGCAGCAGCUGAUGAACCCAAAUGUUUGGUAACCCAUUCCCGAAUGAGUCCAAACUGAGUGAUGGUUUUUUGAAAGUGAGAAAAGUUAACCAACAAUUUCUUUUGGUAUUUCCUAAUGGUCUUUAGAAGCUUUAAAAACCUUUUGUUAUCAGUUCCUGCCGAUUUCAUGCUUGUGGUUGAGUCAUCACGUGCCCUUUUGGAUUUUGAACUUUUAGCCUUAUCCUUGGAGAAAUUUUCAAAAUGUGGAGCCAAAUGAGAUUUGGAUUUUUCUUGUAAAUCCGGAUCAAAAUUAGAUGGAGCAAUAUUUGGAGAGAUAGGAGAAGAGUUCAGACUUACUUGAGAUGGUAAUGUGGAUUCUUCUGCAUGCAUGUUCCUAUGAGGGCAAGAAUGGUGAUCAUAUGAUACGUUCAGAUCAAAGAAUAAAUCUUCACCAUCCUUAACUAAAGGAGCGGCAGUGUGUGGUGAUAGAUUAUUACUGACUUGUGGAGAUUGAGGAAAUGUUGAGCCCGCAGAGUUAAAUGAGGGGGUGCGAGAAUGAGAUAGUGGAGAUGCUGACUUUUGUUUCUUUGAGGCAGUUUUCUUCUUCCUUGAGGUGGGGGUUUGUUCAGGCAGAUCAAUGCGCAUUUGUUUGAUAUUUUUCAUAGAAAAGAAAUUAUUGCACUAAAUACUCUCUUCAUCAUCAAGGGGUACCUUAAAGAACUUAAAGAUUUUGGUCAAGAUCAUCCCAUAGGGAGCUGAUCGACCCACAAUGGCAGCAUUCAACAUGUAGCUAAAUAUGAUAUUGCCCAUAUGAAGGGGUGUUCCAGUCAACAGAUGAUGAAUAAUCAGAAUAUCAAGUUCGGUUACCUUUUCAUAACUCCCAGCUCGAGGCACUAUCGAGUGAACACAAAUGUUGUGAUAAAUCCGACACAUAGGAGGAAGGUUUGAGGCUAUGAGAGGUUUAUGAGGAUCGAUCAUGAUAUUUUGAAGAACUGAAGUUCGAGUGACCAUAUACUGCAUAUACCAAGUUUCAGCAAAACAGUGGGCUCCAGCAUCUUGUAUGUCAAGGAUUUUGCAUAGUGAAGUGGGGUUUACGUCCAAGUGUACUCCCUUAAGCACAAAACUGAAACCAGAGCUUCCUUUGCAGCCAUUGCAUGCAGCAUAGAAUGCCUUUACCAGCCGUGGGUAUUGCGGUUCAUUCACUCUAAAAAAGGAGGUCCAUCCUAACUUAUCAAAUACUUCUACAACAUUAAAGCUACCAUUUUUCAAAUUGAUUAGGUCAAUGUGCUUGCCAUGAACCACAGAUUUGUUAAACCAUCUUGAGGUGUAAUUUAACUCUGAAUCUGUGGAGUCAAAAAGAGGAACAAGAGUUGGUUUGGAUGAACGAGAUUUCUUUGGAGUCGGUUUACCUUGUUCAGAUGAUUUGGUUUUUGACCUUUUUGGAGUGGAAGGUUUGGAGGAUGAUUUAGGGAUCGAUUUAGCCGAGGUAUUUCCUUUGGAAUCGUCCGAAUCAAUCACAUGCACAGUAGAGUCUUGAGUAACCUUUUUGUUUGAAUGGACAACCCCAGAUUGAACUCUUGAAGAUCGUCUGAUUGAGGCAGUGAGUUUUGACGAUGAGGGCUUUUUGGUUUUUUGAGAAGGAGGUUGAGGAGGUUCCCUAGGAGGAGAUACUGACUUUUGUUUUAUUCCUUGUCCAGCGGAUUCAGAACUUGAGUAGUUUUGUGAGUCAGUUUCUGGAUCAAAAGGAGACAUUUUUUGCUUGACAGUAGUUUUGAUGCGUGCCAUUUUUGUUUAGAGGAAGAAAACGGACGAGAAUGAGAUUCGUAGUGAAGAGAGAGAGAAAGGGAAACUGAAUAACUUGGGAGAGAGAACCGUAUGGAAGAGAGAGAGAGAGAGAGAGAAAAAAUUAAACACAGAGAAAGAAUGAAUUAAAACGGAGAGAAUGAAUUUGAACGGAAAAAGAAAUUAAUAAAAACGGAAAGAGAAAAAUUAAAUGAGAGAGAGAGAGAUGUGAGUGGGAAGUUGAAAACGUGAGAGAGAGGGAAAAAAACUGAUUGAUUGAUGGAGAGAGAAAAAAAAAUCAGAAACGUGAGAGAGAGAGAGAGAGAGAGAGAGAGAGAGAGGAGACAUGAGCCGUUGAUGAUGCGUGAUGAUGAUGGAUAGGGAAUCAUGAUGGACUGCAUUUAAUGUAGUAUGCUCAUUUAUGAGGAAUGAGAAGUAUCCAACACGUGCCAACCAUUUGACCAAUGGAUAAAAGGAGGCAUGCGCAUGGCCUUGACUGAUUUAUCAAGAGGAAGUUUCACCUAAAAGUGCCUAAAGUCUUCCUAUCUAAUUUUUUGACUUUAUUUGAGGGAUCAGAUUUGCCAUAUAUUUGCCACACAAAAUUAAAAUAAUAAAAGUCAAAAAUAACAUUAAAAAUAACAAAUAAUAAAAAAUAAAAUUAAAUAAAAAAUAACAGAAUUAAAUUAUUUAAAUAACUUUGGGAAAAUUUAUGAUGGAGAGUUCUUCUAAGAUGAAUUUAAACCGAUCCUCCUGGAGAGGUUUGGUAAAAAUAUCAGCCAAUUGAUUUUCAGUGUCAAUGAAAAUUAAUUAUAUAUCACCCUUUUGAACAUGAUCUCUUAUAAAAUGAUGUUUAAUUUCAAUAUGCUUAGAUCUUGAAUGUUGAAUGGGAUUUUUAGAAAGAUUAAUGGCACUUGUAUUAUCACAGAGGAUGAGAAUUUUUGUGUACCUUAAAGAGUAAUCUUCUAGUUGAUUCUUUAUCUAUAGAAGUUGUGAGCAACAUUGAGCAGCUGAUACAUAUUCAACCUCUUUAGUUGAAAGAGCAAUAGUACUUUGUUUUUUGCAUGACCAACUUAUUAGAGAUUUACCCAGAAGUUGGCAAGUUCCGCUUGUGCUUUUCCUUUCAACUUUAUCUCUAGCAUAAUCGGCAUCACAAUAAGCAAUGCGAUCAAGAUUUGAGCAUUUUUUGUACCAAAUUCCCAGAUUAAUAGUGCCCACAAGAUAUCUAAAAAUCCUUUUUACUGCAGUAAGAUGAGACUCUUUAGGAGAAGAUUGAAAUCUUGCACAAAGACCGACUGCAAAGACUAUGUCUGGUCUACUGGCUGUUAAAUAUAACAAGGAUCCAAUCAUCCCUUUAUACUCUUUUUUCAGAUAUUGGAGUUCCUUCAUCAUCUUUGUGGAGUAUCGAGGAUGGAUGCAUAGGAGUUCCCAUACUUUUGGCUGAACUCAUUUUGUAUUUGUUGAGUAGAUCCUUGGUGUAUUUUUCUUGAGAUAUGAAGAUACCAUCAUCUCGUUGUUUAAUUUGCAAACCAAGGAAGAAUUUUAAUUCUCCCAUCAUACUCAUCUCAAACUCACUUUGCAUGAGAUUGGAGAAAUCUUUGCACAUUACUUCAUUUGUUGAUCCAAAUAUUAUGUCAUCGACAUAAAUUUGAACAAUCAAUAAAUCUUUCUCAUGAGUCUUCUUGAAAAGAGUUGUAUCAAUUUGACCCUUAAUGAAUCCAUUCUCUUUUAGAAAAGAGCUUAACCUCUCAUACCAAGCUCGAGGAGCUUGCUUUAAGCCAUAAAGAGCUUUUGAGAGUUUGAACACAUGAUUCGGCCUCUUCAUAUCUUCAAAACCAAGAGGUUGACGAACAUACACUUCUUCAUUUAAGAACCCAUUCAAAAAGGCAUUUUUGACAUCCAUUUGAAAUAGUUUUAUACCUUUAUGAGUAGCAUAAGCUAAGAGGAUUCUUAUUGCUUCUAGUCUUGCUACGGGUGCAAACGUUUCAUCAUAAUCAAUUCCUUCUUGUUGAUUGUACCCUUGUGCCACUAGUCUUGCUUUAUUUCUAAUGACUUCUCCAUCCUCAUUUAGUUUGUUUCUAAAUAUCCAUUUAGUCCCAAUAAUGGAUUUAUCCGGAGGAUGGGGUACAAGAUUUCAUACCUUGUUUCUUUCAAAUUGUGAAAGUUCUUCCAUCAUAGCUUCAACCCAUGAUUUGUCACCAAUAGCUUGAUCAAUCAUUUUGGGUUCAACUUGUGAUAUCAUGGCCAUGUUGGUAGUGUUUUCCCUUAGAGAAUUUCUGGUUAUAACACCAUCUUCAGUAUUCCCAAUGAUUAGAUCUGGAGGAUGAUGUGUGACUGUUCUCCAUCCUCUUGGAGGUUGCUGUGAGGUUGGGUCAGACUCAUCCUCAUCAUGAGGACCGGGUACUCGAGAGGGUGAAGGUUCAUCUUCUUCAUUUUUAUCCAUUUUUUCUAAACACAAAUUAUCAAACUCAUCAAAAAUAAUAUGCAUGGAUUCCUCCACAGUUUGAGUCUUAAGAUUAUAUAUUCUAUAACCUGUUGACGUUGUGGAGUAUCCUAGAAAAAUUCCUUUAUCAGAUUUUGGAUCAAACUUUCGCAAAUUUUGUUUAUUAUUGAGAAUGUAGCAAUAACACCCAAAAAUAUGAAAAUAAGAAAUAUUUGGUUUUCUCCCUUUCCAUAACUCGUAUGGAGUUUUGUUUAAAUUUUUUCUAAUGGAUGCACGAUUAGAAACAUAACAAGCAGUGUUAAUGGCUUCGGCCCAAAAAUAUUUUUUAAUAUUGGCUUCAUUUAAAAUGGUUAUAGCCAUUUCUUGUAAAGUUCUAUUUUUCCUUUCAACAACCCCAUUUUGUUGGGGAGUACUUGGACAAGAAAAGUUGUGAGAAAUACCGUUUUCAUUACAAAGAUUUUUAAAGGAUUCAUUUUCAAAUUCACCCCCAUGGUCACUUCUUACAGAGACAAUUUUUGAUCCAUUUUCGUUUUGAACCUUUUUGCAAAAAUGGUGGAACGCCUCAAAGACUUCAUCUUUAUGUUUCAAAAAUAAAACACAAGUAAAACGAGAAAAAUCAUCAACAAUGACAAAGCCAUAUCUUUUACCACUAAGACUUGGAGUUUUGAAAUAAUAAAAUUUUAAAAAAUAUUUAAAAUGAAAAAUUAUUUUCAAAAACUUAUCAUAUAGAAAAAUAAACAAUUUUUACAAUAUUUAAAUAUUUAAAUUAUUGAAUCUUAAAUUUGUUUUAGUCGGUAAAAAAUGCAUCCAAAAUAACUUGUUUUAUUUUGAAUUAAAUUUUAGUGUAAUUAAUUUUACAAAUAUAAAACUAAAAUCAUAAUUUUGAAAAUUUAUAAAUGUUAGUAAAAAGAUAUUUAUCUCAAAUGAACCCGAUAUAUUUGUAUUCCCUCGAUUGAGAGCAUAUUUCCUCCUUCCAUGUUGAUUUGGUAAGUGCUAUGUAACUGAUCUUGACUAUUAAGUUUCCACCCAAUGGCCUUUCACUCAGUCACUCUCCCUAAGCCUCCAAAAUAAACCAAUUAUUUUAUAGUUUGACUCCUUAACUUAAUUUUGAUCUUUUAAUAGUUUUUUUUUAUUAUGUUUUGGAUCCUUAAUUUUACUUUUGUUAGUUAUAUUAGUCUUUUCUAUUUUCUUUUUAAAAUGAAUUAUUUUUGUUAGUUUUCAUCCCAAAAUAUUAAUGAAAUAAAACAAAAAAUAAGUUUUUUAGUUUUUUUAGUUUGACUUUUGUAAGUCAAAAUUACCUUUUAUUUAUUUACCUUAAAUGAUAUGUAAAUCAAAAUUAAUGAAACGAAAUCUAACAAAAAGACUUAACAUUGAUAUUACUAUUAAAAAUAAAGUCAAGGAAACAAAAAUGAAUAAAAAAAGAAUUAAGAAAUUAACAUGAAAAUACAAAAUAAGUUAAAGGUCUAAAUAUUUAAUUUAUUUGGUUUCAAUUGCAUUAAAUAUAUUUAAAUACCAAUAAACUCAUAAAACCUUCCCUAUAAAACCCCCUCUCAUUCCUCUUCAAAAUCAUCACUCAACACACAUACCAACCAAGAGAAUAAGCACAAUCUAAAAGCCAUUAAUUAAUUAGCACAUCUUAAUUAUUAUUCCAAAUGGCUUCAAAAAUUGCUAUUCUCCUUUCCAUCAACAUCCUAUUUUUCACUAUGGUUACCUCAACUAAUGUUUGUCCUCCAUCACCCCCUAAAGUUCAAAAACCACCCCAACCACCUUCCACAAAACCCCCCCAACAACCUUCCCCAAAAUCCCCCCAACAACCUUCCCCAAAAUCCCCCCAACCACCUUCCCCAAAAUCCCCAACUUGUCCUAUAGACACACUUAAGUUUGGUGUGUGUGCUGAUUUAUUGGGUGUGGUUCAUAUUAUAAUUGGUAAGUCACAAUGUUGUUCACUCAUUAAUGGUCUUGCUAAUCUUGAAGCUGCUGUGUGCCUUUGCACUGCCCUUAAAGCUAAUGUGUUGGGAAUCAACCUUAAUAUUCCUAUUAACUUGAGCUUGAUACUUAACGAUUGUGGAAAGGGUGUUCCAAAGGGCUUCGUAUGCGCUUAAUUACUAAUUAGAGACACCACUUCAUUAUAUAGUGUGUGGAUUUUGUACUCUUUGCUACUUAAUUGUCAUUUUCUUAUGAAUAAUACUUUGUAAUGGUUUGAAAUUGCUAUGAAUAAUAUCAUUGUCGUGGUUUAUUAGUAUUGCUAUGAAUAAUAUUUUUGUGAUGGUUUAUUAUUAUUGCUAUGAAUAAUAUUGUUGUGAUAGUUUUAAAUUGAAGCAUUAAUUUGUCUUCCUUUUCAAUAUCAAUACAAAUGGUGGUUUGUAUAGUAUUUCGUCUACGUAAAAUUUCUAGUAUAAUUCGAAUGUUAAAUAAAAAUAGCAAAAUUCAAUUGAUUAUAAAUUGAAUAUUUUCCAUCCAUAUUUAAUGUUAAGAUUAAAUUUAAUGACCUAAAAAGAUAAAAAUAUAAUAACUAUACACAUAAAUAUUUUAAAAGCAGAUGAAUAGUAAUCAAAUUAAAACCUUAAUUUUAAUUAACAAAUUUAUUUAUUCUACCUAUAACCAAUUUUUAAAAAUAAUAUAAGAUUACAGUUAGGGAUGAGAAUAAGCUAGGCCGUCCGACAACGGCCUAUGACAUGGCCUACUUAUGACCUGGCCUAUUUAAUAAAAAGACUAGGCUCAAGCUAUUUUUAAAGCUUAUUUAUUUAAAUAGGUCAGACUCAGGCUUAUAAAGAAGCCUAUUAGGCCUGACAUGCCGACCUAUAUAGAUUUAAUUAUUUACUAAUGUUAUUUUUUAUUAUUAUAUUAUUAAUAUUAUUUCCUAUUUUAAAUUCUAUCAAUUAGACAAUCACUCGGUAGUCAUUCCAUAUUUGGUAGUCGUUCCAUAUUCGGUAGGCAUUCAAUUAGUCAAUAACUCAGUAGUCCUUUCAUAUUUGUUUGAGAGGUAAUAAUUGGUACAUUUGUUUCAAAAACAAAAAGUCUAUUCUUUGAAACUAAGAAUUAUGUUUUAGAGUUUAAAGGAUGUUUGUUUCAGAUUUUUUAAAAAUUAUUUUGUUAGAAAAAUUAUUUUUUGUUUAAUAUAUAUAGAUACGUACAUUGAUAUUGAUAUGUGGAGAACAUUUAAAUAUUUUAAUAUGAAUAAGACUUUUAAAUAGGCUUCCAGGUCAGGCCAGACCAGAUCGAAAAAAAAAGCCUAUGAUAAGCCGUGGGCCAGACUUGGGCCUAAAAAAUUAAUCGUAGGCCAGGCUCAGGCCUUGCAAAGCCUGGUCUGAUCUGACCUAUUCCCACCCCUAAUUACAGUAUGUAAUAUCAUGCAUAUUUGUCUGUACCGUAUAGAAUAAAAAAAAAUUGUGUAAAACUUUUUUUAUAUAUGUUACAAUUUUAAUUUUAUAAUUAGAAAUAUAUAAAAAAUUGCAAAAGAUAAAUAAGCCAUUUCAAUUUGAUUUUCUGUUUUGAAAAAUUUGAGGAUUUUUCUUUAAUAUCCCUUUGUUUCAAUUUUUUUUCUAAACAAUUAAUAAUAAUAAAAAUGAUUAAAAUUAGUAAAAAACAAUACAAAAAUUUAUAGAGGUUGAAUAGAGUUAUUUGUAAUAUAGAAUAAUAAUUUGAAUUUUGAUCGGAUAACCAAUCUAAUUUAAAUUGUGGAUCUUAUAUCACUUUUACAAAAAUGCAUAUAAGAAUCUUUCAUUUGGUUAUUUUUUGGUAUUCAUUUUAAAAUUUUGCAAUAAGAAUUAUUAAUUUAAUUGUAAUAAAAAUAUUUUUACUUUUUAAGGUAGAAAAUUAUUAUUGUUAUUAUUAUUAUUAUUCUUAAUAUAAAUAGGAUUAAAUAUAUUUUUAAUUCCUAAUUUUUUAUAUAUUUUAAUUUUAGUUGCUAUAAAAUAAAAAUGUAAUUUUAAUCCUUACAAAGUUGUCGAUCCGGUAAGUAGUUCUAAUCUCUGUUUAAACAAAAUAUACUUAAUUGUUUUUCAACUUUAAAAAUUUUAGAAUGACUUUUCACACGUAUGUUUAUAAUAUUAUAAAAAGCUAAGUUCAUCCGCAUAAAUUUUGAAUUUUUUUUAUCUUGGUAUAAUUAAAUAUAAAAUUUUUAAAUAUAAAAAAUCAAGAUAAAAUUAACAAAAAUAUAGAUUUAAAAACCUAAUUUUGAGCUCAUAUUUUGUGGUAUAAUAUAAACAAAUUAUACUUAAUUAUUUUUCAACUUUAAAAAUUUUAGAAUGACUUUUUACAGGUAUGAUUAGAAUAUUAUAAAAAGCUAAGUACAUUCACAUAAAUUUUGAAUUGUUUUUACCUUGGGUAUAAUUAAAUAUAAAAUUUUUAAAUAUAAAAAAUCAAGAUAAAAUUAACAAAAAUAUAGAUUUAAAAACCUAAUUUUGAGCUCAUAUUUUGUGGUAUAAUAUCUUUUAUAUUGUUGUAAAUAUAAUUGCAAAAAUUUAUUUAAAAAUAUAUGUUGACUUAACAACCUAAACUAAAACUACGUGCACGAUAAUUUUGUGUGAACUUAAAAUUAUAUUUUUAUUAUACUUAGAUUAAAUUGAAAAGAUUCAAAUUUUAUAAAGACUAAUAAAAACAUAUUUAACCUUUUUAAAUAAAUUAUAAGUAGUAUUCCUUCCAUAAUGAAUUAUAAACAAAAAAACUCAAUAACAUCUAAAAAAUAUUAUUCAUCAUAUUUAAUCUAUACAAUUCCAAUAUAUAAAAUAAAAUCUAUUGCUUAAAUUGUGAUCAUUAACUAAUAAAGUUUUUUGUUUGUUUUUGUUGUAAAAUGGAUAUAUCAAAGCUAACCUCUAGCACAAGGUGUGCAACACACAUGCAUGAAUACAUGAUGAUCUUAUAACACCACACUACUGUAACCACUUCUACAAAGCUUUGAAACUUCCCCACAAGGAUCUACACACUUGAAGCAUUGUUCUCCAUUAUCAAUAAGUGAAAGCCCUUCAACAUUAAACGCACUUUGCAUGCCCAUCACAUCUUAUUGCAUCAGAAAAUCUUACAAACCACAACCUUUUAAUUGUUGGUAGUCUAUCCCAAUCACUUAUCCUCGAUAACUAAUAAAUUGAGUUAUUGAAUAUAUAAAAAUAUAUAUUAAAUGAGGGGUAGUUUAGAGAUAUUAUUAUUAAAUAAGAGAGACAUUAUUGAUUUUUACUUAUAUUUUAUUUUAAGAAAUAUAAUAUAAUUUUGUUUAUGCUUCAUUUUCAUAGAAGUAUGGGUAGAAAUUGCUAGUUGUAUGUAACGAUAAAAGAAAUUAAAAAGGAUGGAGAGAUUGAGGAUUCACCCUUAUUUGAUGAGACUUGGAAUAAAUUGGUACAUGUGAAGGUUUCGUCAUGAAAACUUUUAAAUAGUAGACUUUCAACUAAGGUCAAUUUGGUUCAAUGUAAAGUUCUUGAGUCAAAUGUUAAGUCGUGUGUAGGUGGUUGUGGGACAGUCCAAACUACACAACACAUAUUUUUUUCGAUUGUCCAAUAUAUAGACAUGUUUGAGUGGAUAUAUUGUGUUUGUUAGAUGUAGGUUGUCCUCUUGCAAAUAACUAUUCAACUAACGUCCUUCAAUUUGAUGGUUUGGUCCUUUGGGUAAACUUUUGAGAGAAAUACUUCAUUCCAUUUGGCUUGCACACUUUUGGUCUAUUUGAAAAUCAAAUAUUUUUCAAGAGAAAUAAAGUUAUCUUCGCUCACUCAAUUCUUGCAAUGGUGAAAUAUGUCUCAUAUUUAUGGAUCAAAUUCAAGGAGAUUAGUGUUUCUUAUGAUAUAGAUAUACAAGUGGGAUGUGUGUGAGUAAGAUACAAAAUGAGGAGAGAACAAAAUUACCAAACAAAUAAAAAUCUUAUAUCUUUUAUUUUUUAUUAUUAAUAUUUAAUAAAUAUUCAAUUUCUUCAAUCAAUUACCUCAAUUUUUUAGCGGUGUCAUCAAAUCUAUAUAAUUACAUUUUAAUAUCAUUCAUUUAUUUGAACAUGUAAUCCAUCUGUAAGUACAUAGCGAUUAAUCUCCAGUGAAAACUGAUUAUAACAAUAUAUAAGUAUGAAAUGAUGUCAUUGAAUAAAAAUAGAUAAUAAAGACAAACCACGUAUUGCAAUUUAUAUGCAGAUAGUUCCAAACUUGUGACCUUAUAAUAUAUUGUAUUCCCUCAAUUUGAGAGCAUAUUUCCUUCUACCAUAUGUUGACCUGUCAGCUUGUGCUAGCCUGAUCAUGACUAUAGACUUUCCCCCCAAUGGGCUUACCCACUCACUCACAUGGGCCUCCAAAAUAAACCUAUUAUUUUAAAUAUUAAAAUAUUAAUAAACUCAUCAAACCUUUCCUAUAAAAGCCCUUAAGCAUCAUCACUCAAACACACACCAAACCAAACCAAGAGUAUUAGCAUAGUCAAAAAGCCAUUAAUUAAUUAGCAUCUUAAUUAUUCCAAAUGGCUUCAAAAUUUGCUAUUAUUCUUCUUUCCCUCAACAUCCUAUUUUUCACUAUGGUUACCUCCAAUUAUGUUCCAUGUCCUCCACCACCCCCCAAGGGUCACAAACCCCACCACCCACCUUCCUCAAAAUCUCCAACUUGUCCUAGAGACACAAUUAAGUUUGGUGUGUGUGCUGAUUUAUUGGGUUUGAUUAAUGUUCAACUUGGUAAGCCACCAAAGACACCAUGUUGUUCACUCAUUGAUGGUCUUGCUAAUCUUGAAGCUGCUGUGUGCCUUUGCACUGCCCUUAAAGCUAAUGUGUUGGGAAUCAACCUUGAUCUUCCUAUUAACUUGAGCUUGAUACUUAACUAUUGUGGAAAGGGUGUUCCAAAGGGAUUCGUAUGCGGUUAUUGAUUAGAGACAUCACUUGAUA